Molecule: ribosomal RNA, 119 nt
Filed under: Helianthus annuus (common sunflower)
Lineage: Eukaryota; Viridiplantae; Streptophyta; Magnoliopsida; Asterales; Asteraceae
Source: RNAcentral
GGUUGCGAUCAUACCAGCACUAAUGCACCGGAUCCCAUCAGAACUCCGUAGUUAAGCGUGCUUGGGCGAGAGUAGUACUAGGAUGGGUGACCCCAUGGGAAGUCCUCGUGUUGCAACCC